UUGGCUGAAUUGUGUCAGAAAGCUUGCUUGAUUCUUUGGGAUGAAGCUCCUAUGACACACCGUUGGUGUUUCGAAGCCCUUGAUCGGACUUUGAAAGAUGUUCUUUCUGUUGAAAAUAAGGAAAAUGCUCUGCUACCUUUUGGUGGAAAGGUUGUCGUGCUUGGUGGUGAUUUCAGACAGAUAUUACCGGUUAUAGAGGGUGGCGCGAGGGAUGAUAUCAUUAAUUCAUCUUUGAUUGUUUCUCCGUUGUGGCAACAUAUAAAAGUUUUGAAACUUCAUUGCAAUAUGCGUCUUCGAUGUCCUGGUUUAUCUCAUAAUGAAAGAGCAGAGCUUUCUGAAUUUUCUGAAUGGGUACAGAGUAUUGGAACUGGUUCUGUUCCUAUGCACUGUAAAGGCGAUGAAUAUGUGCCGUCUUGGAUUCAAAUACCUGGUGAUUUAUUGCUUCAUCCUAAAGCAGAC
RNAcentral lists this ribosomal RNA (459 nucleotides) under Triticum aestivum (bread wheat). RNAcentral describes it as "partial small subunit ribosomal RNA". Lineage: Eukaryota; Viridiplantae; Streptophyta; Magnoliopsida; Poales; Poaceae. The record is from RNAcentral.